This is a long non-coding RNA of Brassica napus (rape), 2446 nucleotides long. RefSeq lists it as uncharacterized. The transcript has 4 exons. The record is from RefSeq and is a predicted model, not a curated record. NCBI's taxonomy places the organism in Eukaryota, Viridiplantae, Streptophyta, Magnoliopsida, Brassicales, Brassicaceae.
CAUCGACUUUAAGGAUUCCAAACGGAGAAAACAGAGGAGGAGAGGAGUAUCUGAUCGCUGAGAUUUUUGCUCUGAUGGUUGCUUCAAUGGAGGAGAUGAUUGCUUCAGGAGGUUUGAAGAUCUGCCUAUGCAACCUGUUGUUUCGUUCUGACCAAAUCAUGUACAUCGAGCAUUGCCAACAGAGGAUGGAGAGAUACCGCUGGUGGCGUGAUCUAUGCGUCAGUUGAAGGUCGGCGAUGGUUUGAUCCCAGGAGGCUGACGGCGAGAACCUGCUUCUCCGUGCUAUUGUCGACCAGAUAUGCCACGAAUAGCUACAUGUGAAAAAAAGAUGGUCGCGACUUUCUGGUGCAUUGUUACAGAGAAGACAUGAGGGAUCUGUAGCAAGUCCCCAGCUCAGCAAGCGGUCUCGGGUAGGACAUCGAUUUAGGAGCAGGAGCCAGGAGAGAAAAUUGUGCUUAGGAAUACCUUGUCUUAGCCAAACAAUGCUAAACCAGGGGACCAACGGAUUGUGAUGCGUAAGCUCGCAGAGAUGAAGCAUUGCAGGAGUACUUGUGCAUCUGAUCGAGCCGGUGGGAGUAUCCAAUCACCAUCAACGUAGAGGUCUGAGACGGUGGCGAGUCUUGGGAUGCCUAAUCUUGAGUGAGGCUGGAGUUGAAGAAAAUCUGAUAUAUUUCCAUAAGGGGACCAAUUAUCGCUCCAAAAACGAGCAUGUCUUCCAUUUCCUAGCUUGACAUGAAUCCAAUUGUAGACCAAUGGCCUUAAGCGAAGAAAGCGCUUGACAAGCCAGGAAUGAUUAUUUGAUUCUUUGAUUAUCCAGAAAUUGGAGCGAUCGCCAGAUAUAAUUUCUUCAACAAACCAAGCUACCCAUAUUGAACCAGAGCUGAAGAACAGUAGCCAGAUGAGCCUGAUAGAAGUGGCCUUGUUCCAGCUUACAAGAUCCCUGAUGCCUAACCCCCCUUCCUCCUUUGCGUGAACAAUGGUGUCCCAUGCUACACGAGCCGAGUGAUGUCCCUCUAAAGUCCCUUUCCACAGAGAGGGACUCCAAGGUAUCUGAUUGGGAGGGUUCCAUGAGACAGACCUGUUUCCUCAGCAAUUUCCGUAAUUUCUGUCUGCGGUAGCCCACAAGUGAAGAAGCAGUUUUUUGAUAGACUUACUCCAAGACCCGAGUGCCUUUCGAAUUCAUUUAGUACUUCCAACACUCCUUUAACUGAUUGUUUAUCUCCUUUGGUGAAUAUUAGCAGAUCAUCAGCGAAACAUAGGUGCGUUAGUUUACUAUCCUCGCAGUUUUGAUGGUAUCCAAAUCUUCCUUCUGUCGCUGCGUUGUUGAGGAGAGUAGAUAAGCAGUUCAUUGCAACUACAAACAAGUAAGGAGAUAGGGGAUCUCCUUGACGAAGACCCCUUUUGCUCUUGAAGUACCCUUGGACCGUUCCAUUGUAUCCUACCGAGAAAGAGGCAGUACAAACGCAAGCUUCCAACCAGCGGAUAUACAGUGUAGGUAUGCCCAUGCUAGUCAGACAUGUAAAGAUGAAGUUCCAGCUUAUUGUAUCAAAAGCCUUUGCAAUGUCGACUUUUAUGGCAAUCCGUUUAGCUCCUCUGUUCCGAUGAUAACCGUGGACAAUUUCUGCAGCCAAAACCGUAUUUUCAACAAGAAGGCGUCCCUGCACAAACGCUGUUUGAUUUGGGAGGAUGAGAUCAGGCAAAAGAGGCUUGAGGCAAUGAACCAGCAGCUUAGAGAUAGCCUUAUAGAGGGUGUUACAGCACGAGAUAGGCCUGAAAUCUCCUAUUGCAGAAGCUCCUGGUCUUUUUGGGACAAGGGUUAGGAUGGUGGAGUUUGCAGCUGAGGGGAGAAAAGCUGCUGAGAAAAAAGAUUUGAUUGCAUUUACAGUUUCUGCCCCUAGAAGAUUCCAAGCAGACUUGAAAAAUCCCGAACAUCAGGGAGUGUGAUCGUAGAUUGUGCUUGGGAGACCUGACAUCGGUGCUGGAUCAAUGAUUGGAACCAUUGGAGGGAGGAGAUCGAUUCUGGUAGAACUGCAGGGGAUAGGAGAGCCUGGAAGUGAGAAACAGCAUGAAGUCCCAUCGCUAGGGGGUCCGUAAUCAGAGCACCUGAUGGUAGCGAGAAUGAUCUGAUGGAGUUGAAAGAUGCUCGGACUUGGACUAGACGAUGAAAGUAUGUGGUGAUUGCCAUAUUUUCUUCAUUCCAACAACUACAUCAUUGUUUCUUCCUUCUUAGUUCCAACAAUCACAAGACUCACAACUCACUGCCGAAGAUUUGUUGAAAAAACAUGUUACUCAGUUGAAAAAUUCGGGAAGCUCCAGAAUAGUUGUGCACAAUAAAAAUGAUCACACGUCGAUUUGAUAUUAAACUUAAUCUAUAUUAUUAAAAUAGAAGUAUCUAUUUGAAAAUGUUUUUACUUCAUUAAUUAAAUUUCCUUUUUUUUUGCUUGUC